RNAcentral lists this ribosomal RNA (492 nucleotides) under uncultured bacterium. RNAcentral's name for it is "bacterial SSU rRNA". It matches the Rfam family "Bacterial small subunit ribosomal RNA", at positions 28 to 511 of the family's 1533-position model. The record is from RNAcentral.
GAUGAACGCUAGCGGCAGGCCUAACACAUGCAAGUCGAACGGUAACAGGUCUAGCUUGCUAGAUGCUGACGAGUGGCGGACGGGUGAGUAACGCGUGGGAAUCUGCCUUCUAGUGGGGGAUAGCCCGGAGAAAUCCGGAUUAAUACCGCAUACGCCUACGGGGAAAGCCGGGGAGUCUUCGGACCUGGCGCUAGUAGAUGAGCCCGCGUGAGAUUAGCUUGUUGGUGGGGUAAUGGCCUACCAAGGCAACGAUCUCUAGCUGGUCUGAGAGGACGAUCAGCCACACUGGGACUGAGACACGGCCCAGACUCCUACGGGAGGCAGCAGUGGGGAAUAUUGGACAAUGGGCGAAAGCCUGAUCCAGCAAUGCCGCGUGUGUGAAGAAGGCCUGAGGGUUGUAAAGCACUUUCAAUCGUGAAGAAAAGUUAGCAGGCUAAUACCCUGUGACCUUGACGUUAACGAUACAAGAAGCACCGGCUAACUCCGUGCCAG